CCACUGUAGAUGUCACCCCGGGAACUGGGGCUAAUACCUGAUAGGUGAGGAGGCCUGGAAUGGUUUUUCACUCAAAAGGCGUUGGAACCAUGCUUUUCAGCGUCGCCUAAGGAUGGGGCCGCGACCGAUCAGGUUGUUGGUGAGGUAACGGCUCACCAAGCCUAUAACCGGUACGGGCCGUGAGAGCGGGAGCCCGGAGAUGGGCACUGAGAUAAGGGCCCAGGCCCUACGGGGCGCAGCAGUCGCGAAAACUCCGCAAUGCGCGAAAGCGUGACGGGGCUACCCCGAGUGCCGUCCGCUGAGGAUGGCUUUUCCUCGGUGUAAUGAGCUGGGGGAAUAAGGAGAGGGCAAGUCUGGUGUCAGCCGCCGCGGUAAUACCAGCUCUCCGAGUGGUAGGGACGACUAUUGGGCUUAAAGCGUCCGUAGCCGGCUUAGCAAGUCUCCUGUUAAAUUCAGCGACCUAAUCGUUGAGUUGCGGGAGAUACUACUAGGCUAGGAGGCGAGAGAGGCCGACGGUAUUCCCGGGGUAGGGGUGAAAUCCUAUAAUCCCGGGAGGACCACCAGUGGCGAAGGCUGUCGGCUAGAACGCGCUCGACGGUGAGGGACGAAAGCUGGGGGAGCGAACCGGAUUAGAUACCCGGGUAGUCCCAGCUGUAAACGAUGCGGGCUAGGUGUUGGGGUGGCUACGUGCCGCUCUAGUGCCGCAGGGAAGCUGUUAAGCCUGCCGCCUGGGGAGUACGGCCGCAAGGCUGAAACUUAAAGGAAUUGGCGGGGGAGCAC
This 780-nucleotide ribosomal RNA is filed under the name uncultured archaeon. RNAcentral describes it as "bacterial SSU rRNA". It matches the Rfam family "Archaeal small subunit ribosomal RNA", at positions 113 to 879 of the family's 1478-position model. The record is from RNAcentral.